UGGGCAUUGGUUGAUAGAGUGAUUUGUCUGGUUUAUCCUGGUAAUAAAUGACACUCCAGCAUGCUAACUAGUUAUAUGACCCCUGAGUGGUUGGCAUCUCCAGCUUCUUAAAGGGACAAGUGACGUUCAAUCAUUAGAGUUUGAGCAGUAACAGGUUUGUGA
RNAcentral lists this non-coding RNA (162 nucleotides) under Felis catus (domestic cat). Its description in RNAcentral is "Eukaryotic small subunit ribosomal RNA". It matches the Rfam family "Eukaryotic small subunit ribosomal RNA", at positions 1285 to 1467 of the family's 1831-position model. The record is from Rfam by way of RNAcentral. RNAcentral also lists the same sequence under 3 other names. Lineage: Eukaryota; Metazoa; Chordata; Mammalia; Carnivora; Felidae.